UACGUAGGGACCAAGCGUUGUUCGGAUUUACUGGGCGUAAAGGGCGCGUAGGCGGCUUUGUAAGUCACUUGUGAAAUCUCCGGGCUUAACUCGGAACGGCCAAGUGAUACUGCAAUGCUAGAGUGCAGAAGGGGCAAUCGGAAUUCUCGGUGUAGCGGUGAAAUGCGUAGAUAUCGAGAGGAACACCUGAGGUGAAGACGGGUUGCUGGGCUGACACUGACGCUGAGGCGCGAAAGCCAGGGGAGCAAACGGG
This 253-nucleotide ribosomal RNA is filed under the name uncultured bacterium. Its description in RNAcentral is "partial 16S ribosomal RNA". It matches the Rfam family "Bacterial small subunit ribosomal RNA", at positions 524 to 776 of the family's 1533-position model. RNAcentral also lists the same sequence under 1 other name. The record is from RNAcentral.